Molecule: ribosomal RNA, 492 nt
Filed under: uncultured bacterium
Lineage: Bacteria
Description: partial 16S ribosomal RNA
Rfam family: Bacterial small subunit ribosomal RNA
Source: RNAcentral
AGUGAACGCUGGCGGUAGGCCUAACACAUGCAAGUCGAACGGCAGCACAGUAAGAGCUUGCUCUUACGGGUGGCGAGUGGCGGACGGGUGAGGAAUACAUCGGAAUCUACUUUUUCGUGGGGGAUAACGUAGGGAAACUUACGCUAAUACCGCAUACGACGUACGGGUGAAAGCAGGGGAUCUUCGGACCUUGCGCGAUUGAAUGAGCCGAUGUCGGAUUAGCUAGUUGGCGGGGUAAAGGCCAACCAAGGCGACGAUCCGUAGCUGGUCUGAGAGGAUGAUCAGCCACACUGGAACUGAGACACGGUCCAGACUCCUACGGGAGGCAGCAGUGGGGAAUAGUGGACAAUGGGCGCAAGCCUGAUCCAGCCAUACCGCGUGGGUGAAGAAGGCCUUCGGGUUGUAAAGCCCUUUUGUUGGGAAAGAAAAGCAGCAGGUUAAUACCCCGCUGUUCUGACGGUACCCAAAGAAUAAGCACCGGCUAACUUCGUG